RNAcentral lists this ribosomal RNA (849 nucleotides) under uncultured Bacillota bacterium. Its description in RNAcentral is "bacterial SSU rRNA". It matches the Rfam family "Bacterial small subunit ribosomal RNA", at positions 53 to 917 of the family's 1533-position model. The record is from RNAcentral. Lineage: Bacteria; Bacillati; Bacillota.
ACAUGCAAGUCGAACGGAGAAUUGAUGGUUUACUAUUAAUUCUUAGUGGCGGACGGGUGAGUAACACGUGAGCAACCUGCCUUUGAGAGAGGGAUAGCUUCUGGAAACGGAUGGUAAUACCUCAUGAUAUAAUUUUAUCGCAUGGUGAAAUUAUCAAAGAUUUACCACUCAAAGAUGGGCUCGCGUCUGAUUAGAUAGUUGGUGAGGUAACGGCUCACCAAGUCGACGAUCAGUAGCCGGACUGAGAGGUUGAACGGCCACAUUGGGACUGAGACACGGCCCAGACUCCUACGGGAGGCAGCAGUGGGGAAUGUUGCACAAUGGGGGAAACCCUGAUGCAGCGAUGCCGCGUGGAGGAAGAAGGUUUUCGGAUUGUAAACUCCUGUCUUAAAGGACGAUAAUGACGGUACUUUAGGAGGAAGCUCCGGCUAACUACGUGCCAGCAGCCGCGGUAAUACGUAGGGAGCGAGCGUUGUCCGGAAUUACUGGGUGUAAAGGGAGCGUAGGCGGGAUUGCAAGUCAGAUGUGAAAUGCAGAGGCUUAACCUCUGAGCUGCAUUUGAAACUGUAGUUCUUGAGUGAAGUAGAGGUAAGCGGAAUUCCUGGUGUAGCGGUGAAAUGCGUAGAUAUCAGGAGGAACACCGGUGGCGAAGGCGGCUUACUGGGCUUUUACUGACGCUGAGGCUCGAAAGCGUGGGUAGCAAACAGGAUUAGAUACCCUGGUAGUCCACGCUGUAAACGAUGAUUACUAGGUGUGGGGGGACUGACCCCUUCCGUGCCGCAGUUAACACAAUAAGUAAUCCACCUGGGGAGUACGGCCGCAAGGUUGCAACUCAAAUGAAUUGACGGA